AUUGAACGCUGGCGGAAUGCUUUACACAUGCAAGUCGAGCGGCAGCGCGGGGGCAACCCUGGCGGCGAGCGGCGAACGGGUGAGUAAUGUAUCGGAACGUACCCUGUCGUGGGGGAUAACACAGCGAAAGCUGUGCUAAUACCGCAUACGACCUGAGGGUGAAAGCGGGGGACCGUAAGGCCUCGCGCGAUAGGAGCGGCCGAUAUCGGAUUAGCUUGUUGGUGAGGUAAAGGCUCACCAAGGCGACGAUCCGUAGCUGGUCUGAGAGGACGACCAGCCACACUGGAACUGAGACACGGUCCAGACUCCUACGGGAGGCAGCAGUGGGGAAUUUUGGACAAUGGGGGGCAACCCUGAUCCAGCCAUUCCGCGUGAGUGAAGAA
RNAcentral lists this ribosomal RNA (383 nucleotides) under uncultured bacterium. RNAcentral describes it as "bacterial SSU rRNA". It matches the Rfam family "Bacterial small subunit ribosomal RNA", at positions 29 to 412 of the family's 1533-position model. The record is from RNAcentral.